AGUCGAGCGGACUUUUAAAGCUUGCUUUUGAAAGGUCAGCGGCGGACGGGUGAGUAACACGUGGGCAACCUGCCUGUAAGACUGGGAUAACUUCGGGAAACCGGAGCUAAUACCGGAUAAUAUAAGGAACCUCCUGGUUCUUUAUUGAAAGAUGGUUUCGGCUAUCACUUACAGAUGGGCCCGCGGCGCAUUAGCUAGUUGGUGAGGUAAUGGCUCACCAAGGCGACGAUGCGUAGCCGACCUGAGAGGGUGAUCGGCCACACUGGGACUGAGACACGGCCCAGACUCCUACGGGAGGCAGCAGUAGGGAAUCUUCCACAAUGGACGAAAGUCUGAUGGAGCAACGCCGCGUGAGCGAUGAAGGCCUUCGGGUCGUAAAGCUCUGUUGUUAGGGAAGAACAAGUGCGAGAGUAACUGCUCGCACCUUGACGGUACCUAACCAGAAAGCCACGGCUAACUACGUGCCAGCAGCCGCGGUAAUACGUAGGUGGCAAGCGUUGUCCGGAAUUAUUGGGCGUAAAGCGCGCGCAGGUGGUCCUUUAAGUCUGAUGUGAAAGCCCACGGCUCAACCGUGGAGGGUCAUUGGAAACUGGGGGACUUGAGUGC
This 606-nucleotide ribosomal RNA is filed under the name Bacillus sp. CH112b. RNAcentral describes it as "bacterial SSU rRNA". It matches the Rfam family "Bacterial small subunit ribosomal RNA", at positions 60 to 649 of the family's 1533-position model. The record is from RNAcentral. Lineage: Bacteria; Bacillati; Bacillota; Bacilli; Caryophanales; Bacillaceae.